GACAGAGGGUGCAAACGUUGUUCGGAAUUACUGGGCGUAAAGGGCGCGUAGGUGGCCCGGUCAGUUCGUGGUGAAAGCGCGGGGCUCAACCCUGCGUCGGCCAUGAAUACUGCCGCGGCUGGAGCACUGUAGAGGCAGGCGGAAUUCCGGGUGUAGCGGUGGAAUGCGUAGAGAUCCGGAAGAACACCGGUGGCGAAGGCGGCCUGCUGGGCAGUUGCUGACACUGAGGCGCGACAGCGUGGGGAGCAAACAGG
Molecule: ribosomal RNA, 254 nt
Filed under: uncultured bacterium
Lineage: Bacteria
Description: partial 16S ribosomal RNA
Rfam family: Bacterial small subunit ribosomal RNA
Source: RNAcentral